This 492-nucleotide ribosomal RNA is filed under the name uncultured bacterium. Its description in RNAcentral is "partial 16S ribosomal RNA". It matches the Rfam family "Bacterial small subunit ribosomal RNA", at positions 29 to 507 of the family's 1533-position model. The record is from RNAcentral.
AGCGAACGCUGGCGGUAGGCCUAACACAUGCAAGUCGAACGGCAGCACAGUAAGAGCUUGCUCUUACGGGUGGCGAGUGGCGGACGGGUGAGGAAUACAUCGGAAUCUACUUUUUCGUGGGGGAUAACGUAGGGAAACUUACGCUAAUACCGCAUACGACCUACGGGUGAAAGCAGGGGAUCUUCGGACCUUGCGCGAUUGAAUGAGCCGAUGUCGGAUUAGCUAGUUGGCGGGGUAAAGGCCCACCAAGGCGACGAUCCGUAGCUGGUCUGAGAGGAUGAUCAGCCACACUGGAACUGGGACACGGUCCAGACUCCUACGGGAGGCAGCAGUGGGGAAUAUUGGACAAUGGGCGCAAGCCUGAUCCAGCCAUACCGCGUGGGUGAAGAAGGCCUUCGGGUUGUAAAGCCCUUUUGUUGGGAAAGAAAAGCAGCAGGUUAAUACCCCGCUGUUCUGACGGUACCCAAAGAAUAAGCACCGGCUAACUUCGUG